UGUGUGUGUGUGUGUGUGUGUGUGUGUUGGACUAAUUGGUGUAAGAAUUUUAUUUGGCUUUCAAAUGGUGAAACUAACCUCCUCUACUGGACAAUGUUGGCAGUUUUGGGUCCCUUGGCUAGGACAAUAUUAUGAUGCCAACCAUUCUUUCUUGUCCUUUGCAGAAAAGCAACAAGUGAAAUGAUGUGUAUGCAUUGUUUGAAGGUUCAACCAGUUGGUCCAACUUGCAGUACACCUUCCUGUGCUGGAUUCUCGAUGGCGAAAAAUGUGUACCACUGCCCAUUAGGCAACUUAUGUUGUGUUGGAAAAGGACUUGGCAUAGACUUCUUUCAUUGCAUGACAUGCAAUUGUUGCUUGGGUAUGAAAUUGAAGGAGCACAAGUGCCGGGAGAAAGGUCUAGAGACAAACUGUCCGAUUUGUUGUGAUUUUCUGUUUACAUCAAGUGCAGCAGUAAGAGCUCUGCGCUGUGGACAUUUCAUGCAUUCUGCAUGCUUCCAAGCGUACACUUGCAGUCAUUACACCUGCCCAAUUUGCAGCAAAUCCUUGGGAGACAUGGCCGUGUACUUUGGCAUGAUUGAUGCCUUGUUGGCUGCUGAAGAGCUUCCUGAAGAGUACCGGGAUCGAUGUCAGUGAGAUUAUCAUCCAGUCGUAUGAGUGUCGAAGAAAGAGAAAUGAGCCAAUGAUUUCUCAGGUGCUGUAAUUUGCUACCCACAGGCUUCUGAAAUAACCAAGGCUGAUCACAUCAAAGUUGAAACCUCCCCCAGGCAUUGCAACACAGUGCAGUAGAAACUGCUGUCUGAUGAAUCCAAGCACUCACAAGAUGGAUUCCCCUCUUCAGCAAGCACAUGACCAAUAGUGCAUCUUGCUCUGCUUCCCCUCCAAGCACCUCUGACAAUUGGGAAGAACAAACUGCCACUCUGCUAAUCCGAACGACAACGAGGAUCUCUCUGUGGAACCACAGUCUGGUCUGCAUCCUAGAGGAAGAAGGAAUGCAGAAGAAUUCAUUAGGGUUAUCCCAUCUCUAAAUGUAGAGAUAUAGAUGGGCAUAUCUGAACACAGAUCAAUAGCAGCUGAUGGUUCAGACUUCCUAUGAGCAAUCAGUGAAUAUACACAGAGAGAUGGAACUCAGGAAAAGAAUCAUGUCUCACCAUUUUGGAUGAUGCAAGCAAGAUUUGUCACACCUGAUCUACAUUUGGGUUUGCAGCUAUCACUUGACAAAAGCUGAACAUGCAAGAUAAAGAUAUAAUCCGCCUUUCUCAUCAUCCUGAAGAAAAUGAUGACCGGAAUGAUUUGUCUCAGUACAACUUUGCCUACAAGAGUAGUACAACAUGCAACUUUCAACCCAUCAUUUUGCCACAUGAAAACUGUCUUCAACAGAGGUUUGUACAUCUUUCAGAAAUAAGCAUGAAUUAUUCAGUUUUUGUCACUCCCGGAUAAUUAAUUGAUGUCCAGCUGCCUUUCUAUGUCUUCAUGAGUUUGAGCAUCAUGUCUCUUAGGGCUGCUAUUUUUCUCAAAUCAACAUGCAUGUAGACCUGUGUGUAGGAACAUAAACCAAAUUGAUGCUUAAAUUGACUGUUUAUCAUGUAGUUGUUGCCUUCAGUACUCUACCAAUCUUAAAUUGUUGCCAUCAGUAUCCUAUCGAUCU
RNA transcript from Musa acuminata AAA Group (dessert banana), 1645 nucleotides. It is a transcript of the gene named zinc finger protein BRUTUS-like, with no coding region annotated. The transcript is spliced from 7 exons. The record is from RefSeq and is a predicted model, not a curated record. Lineage: Eukaryota; Viridiplantae; Streptophyta; Magnoliopsida; Zingiberales; Musaceae.